CAACUGAAUAAUUUAGAAACUUAGAAUCAUUCAUGACACUUCCUUCCCCAGCACAUCCAACCAUUACCAUUGUGCCCUUAUAAAUCUGCCCUUAAGUCUGUUUACUGAACUCAGUUUUUUUUUUGUUUGAGCCGGAGUCUUGUUCUGUCACCAGACGGAGUCUUGCUCUGUCGCCAGGCUGGAGUACAGUGGCGCGAUCUUGGCUCACUGCAACCUCUGCCUCCCGGGUUCAAACAA
This 237-nucleotide long non-coding RNA is filed under the name Pan troglodytes (chimpanzee). RNAcentral describes it as "long non-coding RNA NONPTRT007230". The record is from RNAcentral. Lineage: Eukaryota; Metazoa; Chordata; Mammalia; Primates; Hominidae.